RNAcentral lists this ribosomal RNA (532 nucleotides) under Meyerozyma guilliermondii. Its description in RNAcentral is "eukaryotic LSU rRNA". The stretch from base 125 to 278 matches the Rfam family "5.8S ribosomal RNA". The record is from RNAcentral. Lineage: Eukaryota; Fungi; Ascomycota; Pichiomycetes; Serinales; Debaryomycetaceae.
ACACAGUGUCUUUUUGAUACAGAACUCUUGCUUUGGUUUGGCCUAGAGAUAGGUUGGGCCAGAGGUUUAACAAAACACAAUUUAAUUAUUUUUACAGUUAGUCAAAUUUUGAAUUAAUCUUCAAAACUUUCAACAACGGAUCUCUUGGUUCUCGCAUCGAUGAAGAACGCAGCGAAAUGCGAUAAGUAAUAUGAAUUGCAGAUUUUCGUGAAUCAUCGAAUCUUUGAACGCACAUUGCGCCCUCUGGUAUUCCAGAGGGCAUGCCUGUUUGAGCGUCAUUUCUCUCUCAAACCCCCGGGUUUGGUAUUGAGUGAUACUCUUAGUCGGACUAGGCGUUUGCUUGAAAAGUAUUGGCAUGGGUAGUACUAGAUAGUGCUGUCGACCUCUCAAUGUAUUAGGUUUAUCCAACUCGUUGAAUGGUGUGGCGGGAUAUUUCUGGUAUUGUUGGCCCGGCCUUACAACAACCAAACAAGUUUGACCUCAAAUCAGGUAGGAAUACCCGCUGAACUUAAGCAUAUCAAUAAGCGGAGGA